This 504-nucleotide ribosomal RNA is filed under the name uncultured bacterium. RNAcentral's name for it is "partial 16S ribosomal RNA". It matches the Rfam family "Bacterial small subunit ribosomal RNA", at positions 29 to 523 of the family's 1533-position model. The record is from RNAcentral.
AUUGAACGCUGGCGGCAGGCCUAACACAUGCAAGUCGAACGGUAGCACAGAGAGCUUGCUCUCGGGUGACGAGUGGCGGACGGGUGAGUAACGUCUGGGAAACUGCCCGAUGGAGGGGGAUAACUACUGGAAACGGUAGCUAAUACCGCAUAACGUCGCAAGACCAAAGGGGGGGACCUUCGGGCCUCACACCAUCGGAUGUGCCCAGAUGGGAUUAGCUAGUAGGUGGGGUAAUGGCUCACCUAGGCGACGAUCCCUAGCUGGUCUGAGAGGAUGACCAGCCACACUGGAACUGAGACACGGUCCAGACUCCUACGGGGGGCAGCAGUGGGGAAUAUUGCACAAUGGGCGCAAGCCUGAUGCAGCCAUGCCGCGUGUAUGAAGAAGGCCUUCGGGUUGUAAAGUACUUUCAGCGGGGAGGAAGGCGGUGGAGUUAAUAACUUCACCGAUUGACGUUACCCGCAGAAGAAGCACCGGCUAACUCCGUGCCAGCCGCCGCCGUAA